UGGGGAAUAUUGCACAAUGGGCGCAAGCCUGAUGCAGCAACGCCGCGUGAGGGAUGACGGCCUUCGGGUUGUAAACCUCUUUUAGCAGGGAAGAAGCGAAAAGUGACGGUACCUGCAGAAAAAGCACCGGCUAACUACGUGCCAGCAGCCGCGGUAAUACGUAGGGUGCAAGCGUUGUCCGGAAUUAUUGGGCGUAAAGAGCUCGUAGGCGGUCUGUCGCGUCUGCUGUGAAAUCCCGAGGCUCAACCUCGGGCCUGCAGUGGGUACGGGCAGACUAGAGUGCGGUAGGGGAGAAUGGAACUCCUGGUGUAGCGGUGGAAUGCGCAGAUAUCAGGAAGAACACCGAUGGCGAAGGCAGUUCUCUGGGCCGUAACUGACGCUGAGGAGCGAAAGCGUGGGGAGCGAACAGGAUUAGAUACCCUGGUAGUCCACGCCGUAAACGUUGGGCGCUAGAUGUGGGGACCAUUCCACGGUUUCCGUGUCGCAGCUAACGCAUUAAGCGCCCCGCCUGGGGAGUACGGCCGCAAGGCUAAAACU
This 537-nucleotide ribosomal RNA is filed under the name uncultured bacterium. RNAcentral's name for it is "partial 16S ribosomal RNA". It matches the Rfam family "Bacterial small subunit ribosomal RNA", at positions 355 to 901 of the family's 1533-position model. The record is from RNAcentral.